This 253-nucleotide ribosomal RNA is filed under the name uncultured bacterium. RNAcentral's name for it is "partial 16S ribosomal RNA". It matches the Rfam family "Bacterial small subunit ribosomal RNA", at positions 524 to 776 of the family's 1533-position model. The record is from RNAcentral.
UACGUAGGGUGCAAGCGUUAAUCGGAAUUACUGGGCGUAAAGCGUGCGCAGGCGGUUGUGCAAGACAGAUGUGAAAUCCCCGGGCUUAACCUGGGAACUGCAUUUGUGACUGCACGGCUAGAGUGCGGCAGAGGGGGAUGGAAUUCCGCGUGUAGCAGUGAAAUGCGUAGAUAUGCGGAGGAACACCGAUGGCGAAGGCAAUCCCCCGGGCCUGCACUGACGCUCAUGCACGAAAGCGUGGGGAGCAAACAGG